UGGGAAUAUUGGACAACGGGCGGAAGCCUGAUCCAGCAACGCCGCGUGAGGGAUGACGGCCUUCGGGUUGUAAACCUCUUUCAGUACCGACGAAGCGGAAGUGACGGUAGGUACAGAAGAAGCACCGGCCAACUACGUGCCAGCAGCCGCGGUAAUACGUAGGGUGCGAGCGUUGUCCGGAAUUAUUGGGCGUAAAGGGCUCGUAGGCGGUUUGUCGCGUCGGGAGUGAAAACACUGGGCUUAACUCAGUGCUUGCUUCCGAUACGGGCAGACUAGAGGCAUGCAGGGGAGAACGGAAUUCCUGGUGUAGCGGUGAAAUGCGCAGAUAUCAGGAGGAACACCGGUGGCGAAGGCGGUUCUCUGGGCAUGUCCUGACGCUGAGGAGCG
RNAcentral lists this ribosomal RNA (387 nucleotides) under uncultured bacterium. Its description in RNAcentral is "partial 16S ribosomal RNA". It matches the Rfam family "Bacterial small subunit ribosomal RNA", at positions 356 to 755 of the family's 1533-position model. The record is from RNAcentral.